Lepisosteus oculatus (spotted gar) is the source of this 94-nucleotide microRNA precursor. The record is from Ensembl. NCBI's taxonomy places the organism in Eukaryota, Metazoa, Chordata, Actinopteri, Semionotiformes, Lepisosteidae.
GUUCAGAGAGGUGUUUCCAGGACUGUCUAACCUGAGAAUGGUAAAAUCAAUGCUCAAUCUCAGGUUCGUCAGCCCAUGAAACGCUUUCUCAAUU